AAGAGUUGAAGAACUGAAUAGAUGAAGAACUGAAUAGAUGAAGAACUGAAGUCGAAGAAUUGAUUUCGUCAAGCAAGAGGAGAAUAAGAAGGAAUUGAUAACUUUGGGGUUGUUGGCUAAGAACACGAUUUCAGACAGGACUGAAGCUAGGAACACGAUUUCAUACCGAAUGGAAGAGGUCAACAACUGAAGAGAUUCUCGCUAAAGGACACGAUUUACAUCAUAGUUCUCGCUAAAAAUAGGAUUUUGUUGGAAUAGGGUUUAUCAAAAAGACUGAGGAGCUUGAAUUGAAGAAGACACAACAAGAAACCAAAGCUAUUAAAACUUCAAGGAAAGCUAUUCCAUCAAUGUGGCAAGAAAUGUGCAAGAAACAAUUAAUGAUAGUCAAUUCAGAUUUCAUGGAAAAUAUGGAGGUAUUCUAAUUAAUCAACCUAUAUGUAUGUUUUUGCCUUGCAUGUGGAAUUAGAUGCAACUCACACUUCCAUAAUUUCAUAUUAUGCUGUAACUUACAUUUGAGAUACACAACUCAAUCAUUUCUGAUGUCUCUAAUGUAAUCCAUAAAAAGCGCUAAAUUUCCCCUCUAUAGUUCUCUGAGUUUUUAUUUCUAGUUAGGGUGAAGGGGAAAGGGAGAGGUGGGGCUGAAUUAUGUUUGAUUAGUGAGAAAGUAGAGAGAUUCAUGGUACUGUAAGAUAUGCAUGUUACCGUAGGAGUCAUGAUAUUUUUAGUCCUAGUAAUUUCUGUCGACUGUUAAAUGUUAAUUGGGUGAUGAAUGCAGAAAAAGUUUCUGAACCUUGUGUCUAAACUGGAAGAAAAAGAUAACGCGAUCACAACAUUUAUAUUGUCGGCUGAACAAUUUGCUGAAGUUAAGAGAAAGGAAAUGGAACAAGGAAGUGAGAAACAGGGAGUGCAAGCAGUAGAUGUAGCAAUGGAGAGAUCAAAUGAUCAAGGCAAGGAGAUAACAACAAUUACACUAAUAAUUUGGUCCAAACACCACCCUCAGUCUCUUCUUCUACUGCCAUAGCUCCUCUUUCAUUGCUGCCUUACACUAAUAAUUUUCAUAACAACAACCUCGCAUUCCCUGUCAAGCCUGUCCCUGAAAGACGAAUAGUCAUUGUUACUGUCUCCACCAUAUCUGGUGAAAC
Molecule: long non-coding RNA, 1142 nt
Organism: Solanum stenotomum
Lineage: Eukaryota; Viridiplantae; Streptophyta; Magnoliopsida; Solanales; Solanaceae
Exons: 4
Source: RefSeq, a predicted model, not a curated record